UUCUCUUAUCUGCUUUAGAUUAUUAUAAGGUAAUAGUCUUUGUGGAGAAACAGAUGUUUGAAAUCACUGUUGGGUUAAAACGGUGGUUUGACUUUGGUCAAACAGACUUUUGAACCACUAAAAGAGUGGUUUAUUUUUUAAACAGAGUGGUUUACUCUUUAAAACAGAUUACAGAUGCAGUAAUAGUGGCAAGAUACCUAAAGGCAACACUUGUGAUUCCAGGCAGGGGAAGCGAACCUGGUGAUUAGAGGCUAUUACAGGAGUGCAAAAGGGGAAGAUAGGAAGUUGGUUGUCUGCGGAUAAGAAAGCUCCAAGUCAUUCUGAUUCCAAAGAGAAGAAAGACAAGGUAUGAAAAAGAGAAUUUCACUGGAAGUGUCUUCAGGUAAAAUGGAUGAUUUUGAUGGGGACGUAUGCCCUAUCAACUGCUCACUAUGUUAAACAUGAUGGUUUGAUGAUUUAGGUGGUGGUCAACUGGACGACUUGGGUAGUCAAAAAAUGAAGGACAUCUGCGGUAAAGGUUGAUUCUUUGUCUUAUACAUGUAGUUUAUUUUUUUGUUUAGCGGCUAUAGCCUUUGUA
Molecule: long non-coding RNA, 577 nt
Filed under: Helianthus annuus (common sunflower)
Lineage: Eukaryota; Viridiplantae; Streptophyta; Magnoliopsida; Asterales; Asteraceae
Description: hypothetical non coding rna
Source: RNAcentral